Molecule: ribosomal RNA, 899 nt
Filed under: uncultured bacterium
Lineage: Bacteria
Description: bacterial SSU rRNA
Rfam family: Bacterial small subunit ribosomal RNA
Source: RNAcentral
CCUUAGAGUUUGAUCCUGGCUCAGGACGAACGCUGGCGGCGCGCCUAACACAUGCAAGUCGAACGAGAGAGAGGGAGCUUGCUUCCUCAAUCGAGUGGCGAACGGGUGAGUAACGCGUGAGGAACCUGCCUCAAAGAGGGGGACAACAGUUGGAAACGACUGCUAAUACCGCAUAAGCCCACAGGUCGGCAUCGACCAGAGGGAAAAGGAGCAAUCCGCUUUGAGAUGGCCUCGCGUCCGAUUAGCUAGUUGGUGAGGUAACGGCCCACCAAGGCAACGAUCGGUAGCCGGACUGAGAGGUUGAACGGCCACAUUGGGACUGAGACACGGCCCAGACUCCUACGGGAGGCAGCAGUGGGGAAUAUUGCACAAUGGGGGAAACCCUGAUGCAGCGACGCCGCGUGGAGGAAGAAGGUCUUCGGAUUGUAAACUCCUGUUGUUGAGGAAGAUAAUGACGGUACUCAACAAGGAAGUGACGGCUAACUACGUGCCAGCAGCCGCGGUAAAACGUAGGUCACAAGCGUUGUCCGGAAUUACUGGGUGUAAAGGGAGCGCAGGCGGGAAGACAAGUUGGAAGUGAAAUCUAUGGGCUCAACCCAUAAACUGCUUUCAAAACUGUUUUUCUUGAGUAGUGCAGAGGUAGGCGGAAUUCCCGGUGUAGCGGUGGAAUGCGUAGAUAUCGGGAGGAACACCAGUGGCGAAGGCGGCCUACUGGGCACCAACUGACGCUGAGGCUCGAAAGUGUGGGUAGCAAACAGGAUUAGAUACCCUGGUAGUCCACACCGUAAACGAUGAUUACUAGGUGUUGGAGGAUUGACCCCUUCAGUGCCGCAGUUAACACAAUAAGUAAUCCACCUGGGGAGUACGACCGCAAGGUUGAAACUCAAAGGAAUUGACGG